AUCUGAAAUUUGAUGACAGAGUAUUAUGAUGGAGGGUAGUAACCUUAUGUUUCUCUUCUUCCGUAAAGUUAGAAUAAAACUUUAGUUUUCGGUUGAAAUAGUUCCAGGUUUUCUAUCUCCAAAGAAGC
Molecule: long non-coding RNA, 128 nt
Organism: Lolium rigidum
Lineage: Eukaryota; Viridiplantae; Streptophyta; Magnoliopsida; Poales; Poaceae
Exons: 3
Source: RefSeq, a predicted model, not a curated record